AGUGAACGCUGGCGGUAGGCCUAACACAUGCAAGUCGAACGGCAGCACAGUAAGAGCUUGCUCUUACGGGUGGCGAGUGGCGGACGGGUGAGGAAUACAUCGGAAUCUACUUUUUCGUGGGGGAUAACGUAGGGAAACUUACGCUAAUACCGCAUACGACCUACGGGUGAAAGCAGGGGAUCUUCGGACCUUGCGCGAUUGAAUGAGCCGAUGUCGGAUUAGCUAGUUGGCGGGGUAAAGGCCCACCAAGGCGACGAUCCGUAGCUGGUCUGAGAGGAUGAUCAGCCACACUGGAACUGAGACACGGUCCAGACUCCUACGGGAGGCAGCAGUGGGGAAUAUUGGACAAUGGGCGCAAGGCUGAUCCAGCAAUACCGCGUGGGUGAAGAAGGCCUUCGGGUUGUAAAGCCCUUUUGUUGGGAAAGAAGAGCAGCAGGUUAAUACCCCGCUGUUCUGACGGUACCCAAAGAAUAAGCACCGGCUAACUUCGUG
RNAcentral lists this ribosomal RNA (492 nucleotides) under uncultured bacterium. RNAcentral describes it as "partial 16S ribosomal RNA". It matches the Rfam family "Bacterial small subunit ribosomal RNA", at positions 29 to 507 of the family's 1533-position model. The record is from RNAcentral.